UGGCAAUUGAAAGGAUAGAGACUGAAGAGAUAGGAAGACUUUUCCCUACGCAUUUUAUUAUACUUUUUAAAAAAAUUCAGAAUGGGUUUUGCUUUACUGCCCAGGCUGACCCAGAAUUCCUGGGCUGGAGUGAUCUUCCUGCCUUGGCCUCUAGAGUAGCUGGGACUGCCGAUGGGAUUCCACAGUGCCACACUGUCAGGCUUUCUGAUGUUUGAAUCACAUUAGUGUAGGCUUCUCUCACUGUUGAACCUUUUUUUGUUUUUUUCUGAACUUUUUACUAACCGAAUUACUAAUUCCAAAUUCUCAGGAACAAACAGAUUUGCUUAAAAAUUAACAUCCCUCCCUAUCAGAAUAUUUUGUACCUAGUACUCAAACAAACAAGGCUUUAUAACACGAAACAGAUGUUACUAAGACCGAAAGUCUCCCCUUGCCGGGGAGUGUGUGGCUCUGUACAAUCCUGACCUCCUGCCAGGCCCUACCUCCUGGGCCUGUCCCGCCUCAUCUCCCUUUUCUGGAACCGAAGCCCCAAGGACGGCGGGCCUUUGCUCUCCCCAUCCACACGGGCUGGUGGCCACAGCCGCUGGAGACAGCGGCACCUGACAGCCUCCUUCCCGGGGGGCACUCAGCGCGGGUGGAUGACCCCUUGCUGGGUCUCCCUCUGAGCAGGACGGGGGACAGAAGUGGUCCCAGGAGAUCGCGCAGGGGCUGCUCCCAGCCCUGGCCUCGGCCUCAACCCCCACCCCUGUGGUCCUCUAAGAACCUUCCCCGCGGUCCCCGCCCCGUCCCGUCCCACCCUCUGCUCUGCAAGUGCUGGGUGCUGCCCCGCCCGCUCCAACCUCCUUCUCCCCGGCGCUGGUCGGGUCGGUCUGGAGGGCCAGGUCUGACCGUGAGGCGUUGGCGUUGGCCGGACUGGCUGCGCCGGACGUGGGGCCGCCUCCAUCCAGUCAAGGCGGAGCCGGCAGCCAGCGGCCAGGGGCUGGAGGCCCAGGCGCUUCCAGCCAUGGGCAGGGGCUCGCUGAGAGCUCCGGGAUUGGCGGUGCCGCGGUGGCUGCUGUCACUACUGCUGCUGUCUCGGGGGCCAGUGUCUGGCGCUUGGUUGCUUCCAGGAAAUACUUCUGGAGAGCCAGUCACCACCCCCUGGGUCCUGGAUGGACAACCCUGGCUCACCAUCGUCCUGAAAGAGCCGAUCUCGACACUAGACUCAGGCCUGGUGGCCUUGGAAGCUGAAGGCCAGGAGUUCCUGCUUGAGCUGGAGAAGAACCACAGGCUGCUGGCUGCUGGUUACACAGAAACCCACUAUAGCCAAGAUGGCCAGCCAGUGGUGCUGGUCCCCAACCACAUGGGCGAGACACUUCUGUGGGCUCUGAGGACAGGGUGAGGGUGCUGGGGAUGGCACCUGGGAUAGCUCCUCACGAUCCCUACCCCAACCCUCCAACUCCGUUCCUAGGGGAAGUUGGAGCCACCCCUCCCCUCCCCUUCCUGCUCCCGUUCCCUCUUGGCUUCUGCCCUGGCUGAGGUUUGGGCUCAGGUUCCUUCCUCUCCAGGACCACUGUCACUACCACGGAGAGUGAGGGGCUUCCCCAACUCUUCGGUUAUGCUCAGCACCUGCUCUGGGAUGAGGGGCUUGAUCAGGCUCAACAGCAAUGCCAGCUAUUACCUGCAGCCCCUGGCCACCUGGAGACCCAGAGGACCUCUCAACCCACAGGACUUUCCGGAUGGAGAGGCUGCUCACCUGGAAAGGGACCUGCCAGCUACAGUGACCCCCGAGGACAAAGGGGGCAUGGCCAGGCUUCGUCCUGCCCCUCAGAGCAGGGAGAGGCGAGAAGCCCCCAGGGGCCAGAGGUACCUGGAGCUAUACGUAGUAGCCGACCACCCCCUGUACUUGACCCAGCACCGGAACUUGAACCAUACCAAAGAGCGCGUCUCCUGGAGGUUGCCAGUUAUGCAGACCAGAUCCUCAGGACGCUGGACAUCCAGGUGGUGCUGACAGGCCUGGAAGUGUGGACAGAGCAAGACCACAGCCGCGUCACACCCACGCCUGGCAACGCCACGCUCUGGGACUUCCUGAAGUGGCGCGGGGGCUGUGGGCACGGCUGGCCGCACGACUCGCGCGCAGCUACUCACGGGCUGCACCUUCCGGGGCGCCACUGUGGGCCUGGCGCCCGUCGAGGGCAUGUGUCGCGCAGAGAGGCUCGGGCGGUGUGAGCACGGACCACUCGGAGCUCCCCACCGGCGCUGCGGCCACCAUGGCCCAUGAGAUCGCCACAGCCUGGGCCUCAGCCACGACCUCGAUGGCUGCUGCGUGGAGGUCGCGGCAGAGCAAGGCGGCUGCAUCAUGGCCGCCGCCACGGGUACUCGCGGGCUAGGGCGGGGCCUAGGCUUAUUCCUCUGCGUGCUGCUUCACGUUAUCCCUCAGUUUCUCUUUUGUAAAAUGGUGGUGGUGACAACCACUUGUCCUCAUGGUUGUUUAUGAGGCCUCAGUGGAAGAAACGCAGGUAAAGUGGAUUCUCACGAGUAUGAAGAUUUUGAGAAAAACCUAGCAAGGUUGCUCCAACGCCGGAGCAAACGGCACGCGUAGGGCUGCGGUGUGGCUAACGCCAGGCCUGAGAAUCCAGGCUGAGUGCGGGCUGGGGUGUCCUGCGCUCCCGACGCCUCCCCCCCGCCCCUAGGCACCCGUUCCCGCGCCUCUUCAGCGCCUGCAGCCGCCGCCAACUGCGGGCCUUCUUCCGCAAGGGGGGCGGCGCGUGCCUCUACAACGCCCCAGACCCCGGGCUUCAGAUCCCGCCCACGCGCUGCGGGAACGGCUUCGUGGAAGCGGGCGAGGAGUGCGACUGCGGCUCUGAGCAGGUCAGGUCCGCCUGCCCGACCUCUGGGGACCGAGCCUGGCCCUCCUCCAGCGGUCAGGGGCGCGGUGCCCGCAUCUGUUCCAGUUUCACUUUUCUGGCCCCAGAAGUGCCCAGACCCCUGUUGCUUCGCCCACAACUGCUCGUUACAUGCGGGGGCCCAGUGUGCCCACGGGGACUGCUGCGCGCGCUGCCUGGUGAGGGCGGGUUGGUCCUGGUUGGUUGGCGCCCCCUGGUCCUCUAUGAGCGGGUCGCCUGGCCCUCGCGCCGGCUCCCCAUCUCUGAACAAGCUUGGCUCAGAUCUGUCACUGUCCAUUGACUCAACCGGGCCCCUGCGCAGCUGAAGCCAGCUGGCUCGCCGUGCCGCCAGGCUGCAGGAGACUGUGACCUCCCUGAGUUCUGCACUGGCUCUUCCCCCACUGUCCCCCGGAUGUUUACCUGCUGGACGGCUUGCCCUGCGCGGGAGGCCAAGGCUACUGCCUGGAUGGCGCGUGUCCCACGCUGGAGCAGCAGUGCGCACAGCUCUGGGGGCCUGGUGAGAGCGUGCCCUAGCAUCUGGCCCCUCCUCGGGUCUGCCCUUUCCUCCCGUAGGCAGGAUCUGCUGAGGAACUGAGGCUCUCAGAGCGUGGACCGGGCUGGGGCUUCGGCUGCGCUGCCCCAGUGCCCCUCUUUGAUCUUCAGGCUCCCGCCCAGCCCCCGAGGCCUGUUUCCAGCUGGUGAACCCCGCGGGAGACGCCACUGGGAAUUGCGGCCAGGAUGGCUCUGGCCGCUUCCUGCCUUGUGCUCAGAGGGACACUCAGUGCGGGAAGCUGCAGUGCCAGGGCGGGGAGCCCAGCCCCCUAGUGCCACACAUCUUGCCUGUGGAGUCCACACUUCACUUAGACGGCCACCAGGUGGCUUGUCGUGCAGCUCUGGUGAUCCCCGAUGCCCAGCUGGACUUGCUGGACUUGGGCCUGGUAGAGCCCGGCACCCAGUGUGGUCCUAGAAUGGUGUGCCAGGACAGGCGCUGCCAGAACACUUCCUCCCAGGAGCUGGAGCGCUGCCUAACUACCUGCCACAACCAUGGGGUUUGCAAUAGCAACCAUAACUGCCACUGCUCUCCAGGCUGGGCUCCACCCUUCUGUGACAAGCCGGGUUCGGUGGCAGUGUGGACAGUGGCCCAGUGCACCCUGAAAAUGGCGACACGUUCCUUCUGGCAGUGCUCUUCAGCUUCCCUGCUCCCUCUGCUCCCCUGGGGUGGGCCUGGCCUGGUGCUACUCCGGCUCCUGGGCUCCACCUCCAGCGAUGCCCCGGGGCUAUAGGAGAGACCAGGAAUGCAGUGGGCCCAAAGAUGGCCCUCUCAGGAACCAUAGCCUGGGUGGCAUUUACCUUGCGCAGUUGGGGUCCGUGGCCAUUGGAGACCCCCAGCCCCUGGAUGCAGAGGCUCCUGCCGACUGUGUCAGCAUUCAUUCUCCACUGUUGCUCCCAGACCCUGAGAACUCUGCCCAAGUUCAGCAGUCACCCUGAGAAGCCUGUGCCCUGCUGCCCUUUUUGAUCUACAAGAAUCUCAGCAGGUCAAGUCUAGACACCAAGAUCCUAUCUGUGGGGGAAAGGUGGCUCCUGAGAUGAGUAGACAGGUGACCACUGACAGCCAUUCCAGGAACUUGGAUCCCAAGGACAGACACAGCGAGUCAACUGAUCUCCUGCACCUUCUGAAGCUUGGAGGUUUCUUCCUGCCUUGUCAAGGAGCUCCAGGACCCAAGCUUCAUCAGAAGUUGCUUGAUGUUGUCCCUGCUCUUGAGGGCUGGGGCAUGCUGGGUACAGCUUCCAGCCCAAGAAUCCAUCCACAAAGGAUUGAAGGUCCCAUAGUCCCCAACCCCCAGCAGGGGAGGCCUCUGUCCUGGGAGCCUGGCUAUGUCUGCUUUGUGCACUUUCCCUCCAUGCAGCUCUCUGGAGGGCAGGGACUCCUGAGACUCAACAUUUCUGAUGGAGCCCACAUUUCCUGGAGCCUGGCCCUUGCAAACAAGCAAGCAAACAAAAUCUUUGAUAUCUCCUUUCUGGUCUCCUCCUACCCGUCCUGUAUCCGGGAAGCUUCUGUAGCCCCUACCCUGACUCCCAGUUCUCCAUCUGAGGUUGUAGAGGGUGUGGCCUUUUGCAGCCCUCUUCACUUGGACUUUACUCAGUCCUCCAUUCUGUAGGAGAGGCCUGAGGAGUCAGGUCAGGAAAGACAGUGUAGAGUCAGAAGAAAGGCAGGCUUCCUGGUGCCUCUGUGAAUCUUUUCUGUUGUAAAUUCAACCCUUGGGGUGUCCUGAGGGGCCACUUGGAGUGAUGUGGUGGGUGGAACCUCCAGUGGUAGCCAGGACACCUGGAUUCAGGAGGGUGUUGCCCAGGUUGAAUUAUCCCUUUGCUUGUCCCUCCUGUCCCUUUGAACAUUCUUGUCUCCUGUUGCUCAUGCCAGAGUUGCUGAGUGAUCUGUAUUAGGCAGCUGUUGCUUUGUAACAAAACCACCUCCAAAACUGAGUUGCUUAAAACAACAGGCAGUACAAUCAUACUUCUGAGGGUGUGAAGAAUUGGAGAAUCUUUGCUGUCUACCAUUGGGAUCCAGAGAAGCGGCAGCCCCAGCUCAUCUAUAGAUUCGUCAUGGUUCCAAUAAACAUCCCAAGACAGUUUUGGUUUUUUGGUGGGGCGGGGGGCUUGACAAACUGCUCCAAAAAUGGACAUGGAACAGCAAAAAUCCAGGAAAAACCAAAAGAAAUUAAAUUAAGAAAAAAGGCCGGGGAUUUAGUUCAGUGGUUCCACCACCUGCCUCUCAAGUGCAAGGACCCAAGUUUGAUCCCAGUACCAAAAAAAUAAAAUAAAUUAAGAAUAAAAUAAGGAACAUUUGGAUGAUGGUAUCAAGAUUUAUUGUAAACUUCUAGUACAGCCAACAGUGAGGGCCACUGUUACUUCAUUACUUACCCUCAAUGCCCAAGCACGAGGGACUAAAUGCAACUACUUUAUGAUGCCACUUCUGUCUCACGGGUACCUGUGGGAUUUUAGUUUAGUGAGAACCCAGAGAAGUUAAGGCCUCUGUGAAAGAAGGUGCUGCUCAGUUCCCUGGAGAGGGAGG
This is a long non-coding RNA of Heterocephalus glaber (naked mole-rat), 5931 nucleotides long. Lineage: Eukaryota; Metazoa; Chordata; Mammalia; Rodentia; Bathyergidae. The record is from Ensembl.